Molecule: non-coding RNA, 402 nt
Organism: Ciona intestinalis (vase tunicate)
Lineage: Eukaryota; Metazoa; Chordata; Ascidiacea; Phlebobranchia; Cionidae
Source: RefSeq, a predicted model, not a curated record
ACAGGUCUUUGUAGGAUUAAGGUUUUUAUAAUAUUGUUUCAGUGUUAUGCAAAAUCAGUGGAUUAUACUCAAAGUGUGUUGAUUGCAAUCUGACAGCUUCAAGUAUAAGUUUAAAAUCAGGAGGUCCAGGGUUGGCAUCUGAUGAACAAAGAACAGAAUCUUCUCCGUACUUUACAUUUAAAGUGGAUUUGGAUGCAACCAGUGACGUGCUUUUCACUGCAAACUGAGCAUCAAGUGAGGGUUUGGUUGAUCUCCAUCUCCAAAUAUGUGCAUCCGGGUAUGAGCUUGUUAUUCCAUAGUUAUCGGCUCCCGGAAAGUAAAUAUGCCAGUUGUUGUAUUUAUCAUUAACAAUGAAUGGACCUAAGUAUAACACAUUUUUAUAAAUGUUGUAAUUAGAGAUAU